ACGCUCGACACCUACAGGCAGCAGUGGGGAAUAUUGCACAAUGGGGGAAACCCUGAUGCAGCAACGCCGCGUGAGUGAAGAAGUAUUUCGGUAUGUAAAGCUCUAUCAGCAGGGAAGAUAAUGACGGUACCUGACUAAGAAGCUCCGGCUAAAUACGUGCCAGCAGCCGCGGUAAUCUGAGGCGGGCGUGGCAAGGC
This 197-nucleotide ribosomal RNA is filed under the name uncultured bacterium. RNAcentral's name for it is "partial 16S ribosomal RNA". It matches the Rfam family "Bacterial small subunit ribosomal RNA", at positions 326 to 544 of the family's 1533-position model. The record is from RNAcentral.